Molecule: ribosomal RNA, 253 nt
Filed under: uncultured bacterium
Lineage: Bacteria
Description: partial 16S ribosomal RNA
Rfam family: Bacterial small subunit ribosomal RNA
Source: RNAcentral
UACGUAGGCAGCGAGCGUUGUUCGGAGUUACUGGGCGUAAAGAGUGCGUAGGCGGUUUUCUAAGUUUGGUGUGAAAGCCCCCGGCUCAACCGGGGAGGGUCAUUGGAAACUGGGAAACUUGAGUGCAGAAGAGGAAAGUGGAAUUCCAAGUGUAGCGGUGAAAUGCGUAGAGAUUUGGAGGAACACCAGUGGCGAAGGCGACUUUCUGGUCUGUAACUGACGCUGAGGCGCGAAAGCGUGGGGAGCAAACAGG